This 389-nucleotide ribosomal RNA is filed under the name uncultured microorganism. RNAcentral describes it as "bacterial SSU rRNA". It matches the Rfam family "Archaeal small subunit ribosomal RNA", at positions 330 to 720 of the family's 1478-position model. The record is from RNAcentral.
GUGCAGCAGGCGAGAAUACUUUACAAUGUGCGAAAGCACGAUAAGGGAACUCUGAGUGCCUCCUAAGGAGGCUGUUCAGGUGUCUAAAAAGCACCUGAAGGAAGGGCUGGGUAAGACCGGUGCCAGCCGCCGCGGUAACACCGGCAGCCCAAGUGGUAGCCACGUUUAUUGGGUCUAAAGCGUCCGUAGCCGGCUGGGUAAGUUCCUUGGGAAAUUUGGCUGCUUAACAGUCAAGCUUUCAGGGAAUACUGCUCGGCUUGGGACCGGGAGAGGGUCAGAGGGUACUCCAGGGGUAGGGGUGAAAUCCAUUAAUCCUUGGGGGACCACCGGUAGCGAAGGCGUCUGACCCAGACCCGGGUCCGACGGUGAGGGACGAAGGCUAAGGGGGC